AGCUCCAAUAGCGUAUAUUAAAGUUGUUGCAGUUAAAAAGCUCGUAGUUGGAUCUCGGGUCCGGGCUGGCGGUCCCGUUCGCGCGGGCACUGCCUGUUCCCGACCUACCUGCCGGCACGUCCCUCGGUGCUCUUCGCUGAGUGCCCCGGGUGGCCGGCGCGUUUACUUUGAAAAAAUUAGAGUGUUCAAAGCAGGCCGCCGCGCCUGUAUACCGAUGCAUGGAAUAAUGGAAUAGGACCUCGGACUCUAUUCUGCUGGUUCUCUUCGGAUCGCGAGGUAAUGAUUAAGAGGGACGGCCGGGGGCAUUAGUAUUACGGUGUUAGAGGUGAAAUUCUUGGAUCGCCGUAAGACUGCCAGUUGCGAAAGCGUUUGCCAAGAAUGUUUUCAUUGAUCAAGAACG
This 400-nucleotide ribosomal RNA is filed under the name phytoplankton environmental sample. Its description in RNAcentral is "partial small subunit ribosomal RNA". It matches the Rfam family "Eukaryotic small subunit ribosomal RNA", at positions 587 to 985 of the family's 1831-position model. The record is from RNAcentral.